Carya illinoinensis is the source of this 542-nucleotide long non-coding RNA. RefSeq lists it as uncharacterized. The record is from RefSeq and is a predicted model, not a curated record. Lineage: Eukaryota; Viridiplantae; Streptophyta; Magnoliopsida; Fagales; Juglandaceae. The transcript has 3 exons.
UUCAUCCUCUCUCUCGUACCUUUCAUUCCUAUUAUCUAUUCAUUCAUCUAAAAUCAUUCAACAUCAUUGCAGAUUUGCUGUAGAUCUUCAUUCCCAAAAUCAUCCAAGCAGAUCUCCUCUCUCUCGUAUGAUUUUGGUAUAGAAAUGAAUGGAUAGCAGCAAAAUCAUUCCCAUUGCAGAUCUCCUCUUUCUCGUACCUUUCUCCUUUACUUCUCAUAAAAAGUGUUCAAGCUUAGCAUAGCAGAGGAAAUCAGAUUCUCGGUUCAGGAGGCAGAAAAUCAACAAAAGAAAAGCUAAUGAGAAGAUGGAAAAAAAGACAGAAGACGCAUCAUGCAUAACACCUCUUACCACUAAUCCAUCAACUACGGACAUAUCACGGCCGCUUUAUCCAGGCAUUUCAAACUACAUGCCAAGUUAUUACGAUCCAGUGCCUCAUGUGUGGUUACCACCUUUUAUACCUCUUCCAAGUGCCAAUCCAUAUCUAUUGAGCAACCAGGUGAUCGUUGGAGCAUAGUUUUAAUUUUAUGAACUUGAAUAUUUAG